RNAcentral lists this ribosomal RNA (19 nucleotides) under Orthomnion elimbatum. RNAcentral's name for it is "partial 28S ribosomal RNA". Lineage: Eukaryota; Viridiplantae; Streptophyta; Bryopsida; Bryales; Mniaceae. The record is from RNAcentral.
GGACCUCUAAUCGGAAAAG